AAGAUUGUGAGGGCUUGAUGUGGUAGGCUAUAGCACUUGGAGGGCAGAUUUCUUGUAGAUUUUUCUCAAAGCAAAAAAGAGGACUAAUUGGACCAAUUUACAUGACUAGGCUACCUUGAUUCUAGAAACGAGGUGGAAAGUGGAAUUGAUGUGACAGCAGAAGAGACAGUGGAAAAGAUACCAAAAAAACGGAUUAUUUUUGCUGUUAUAAAAGUAUUUCUCCAAGAUGUUGUCUAAAGGGUUGAGGUUGAUGCUGAUGAUGAUUCUGCCAUUUAAUACAGCACAAAACAGUAACCUUCCUCCACCCAUCCUCGACAUCAACGACGACAUCUCACUCCCCCUGACCCAGAUACCAUCUGGCCUACCUGGCCCACCUACCCAGUCUUACCUCAGUGUCCUACUCCUGUGUCUAACCGUGGGACUCUCUGGGAUCGUCUACCUGUGUGUGCUGCGUUACAUCUGUGUAGGCUGCUGCCAGCCCAUAGUGGUUGGCCCCGAGUUGGAAGCUUUCUCAGGGGUAGUGUAAAUUUAAUUUGACAUUUGGUGCCCCUGCUACUUUGGUGUCCCUGCAUAUUGCCCCUGCAUAUUGAGGCUCUCUCCAGUUUUAUGUAAAUGACAUGGACAUUGUGACAAGUGGAGUACCGCAGUUUCACAAGGCCUCCCACAAGGUCUGAGCAAGUCCACCUCCCCAGCUAAUUUCCUGCAAUUCUACACAUAUUGCCAUUAGUUAGAGAGUAAAUGUGCAGUUUUGUAGCUAAUAUCAUGCUAUUCCAAACAUUUUGUAUUUUUAAAGCACAUUUUCUGCUAUUCUAUACAUUUUGACUUUGCAGUAU
Molecule: long non-coding RNA, 833 nt
Organism: Oncorhynchus masou masou (cherry salmon)
Lineage: Eukaryota; Metazoa; Chordata; Actinopteri; Salmoniformes; Salmonidae
Exons: 3
Source: RefSeq, a predicted model, not a curated record